AUUGAACGCUGGCGGCAGGCCUAACACAUGCAAGUCGAGCGGAUGAAGGGAGCUUGCUCCUGGAUUCAGCGGCGGACGGGUGAGUAAUGCCUAGGAAUCUGCCUGGUAGUGGGGGAUAACGUCCGGAAACGGGCGCUAAUACCGCAUACGUCCUGAGAGAGAAAGGGGGGGAUCUUCGGACCUCACGCUAUCAGAUGAGCCUAGGUCGGAUUAGCUAGUUGGUGGGGUAAAGGCUUACCAAGGCGACGAUCCGUAACUGGUCUGAGAGGAUGAUCAGUCACACUGGAACUGAGACACGGUCCAGACUCCUACGGGAGGCAGCAGUGGGGAAUAUUGGACAAUGGGCGAAAGCCUGAUCCAGCCAUGCCGCGUGUGUGAAGAAGGUCUUCGGAUUGUAAAGCACUUUAAGUUGGGAGGAAGGGCAGUAAGUUAAUACCUUGCUGUUUUGACGUUACCAACAGAAUAAGCACCGGCUAACUUCGUG
Molecule: ribosomal RNA, 484 nt
Filed under: uncultured bacterium
Lineage: Bacteria
Description: partial 16S ribosomal RNA
Rfam family: Bacterial small subunit ribosomal RNA
Source: RNAcentral